This 253-nucleotide ribosomal RNA is filed under the name uncultured bacterium. Its description in RNAcentral is "partial 16S ribosomal RNA". It matches the Rfam family "Bacterial small subunit ribosomal RNA", at positions 524 to 776 of the family's 1533-position model. The record is from RNAcentral.
UACGUAGGGUGCAAGCGUUAAUCGGAAUUACUGGGCGUAAAGCGUGCGCAGGCGGCUUUGCAAGACAGAUGUGAAAUCCCCGGGCUUAACCUGGGAACUGCAUUUGUGACUGCAUGGCUAGAGUGCGGCAGAGGGGGAUGGAACUCCGCGUGUAGCAGUGAAAUGCGUAGAUAUGCGGAAGAACACCGAUGGCGAAGGCAGUCCCCUGGGCCUGCACUGACGCUCAUGCACGAAAGCGUGGGGAGCAAACAGG